This 451-nucleotide ribosomal RNA is filed under the name uncultured bacterium. RNAcentral describes it as "partial 16S ribosomal RNA". It matches the Rfam family "Bacterial small subunit ribosomal RNA", at positions 354 to 796 of the family's 1533-position model. The record is from RNAcentral.
GUGGGGAAUUUUGGACAAUGGGCGCAAGCCUGAUCCAGCAAUGCCGCGUGUAGGAAGAAGGCCUUCGGGUUGUAAACUGCUUUUGUACGGAACGAAACGGUCCUGGUUAAUACCUGGGGCUAAUGACGGUACCGUAAGAAUAAGCACCGGCUAACUACGUGCCAGCAGCCGCGGUAAUACGUAGGGUGCGAGCGUUAAUCGGAAUUACUGGGCGUAAAGCGUGCGCAGGCGGUGCUGUAAGACAGGCGUGAAAUCCCCGGGCUCAACCUGGGAAUUGCGCUUGUGACUGCAGUGCUGGAGUACGGCAGAGGGGGAUGGAAUUCCGCGUGUAGCAGUGAAAUGCGUAGAUAUGCGGAGGAACACCGAUGGCGAAGGCAGUCCCCUGGGCCUGUACUGACGCUCAUGCACGAAAGCGUGGGGAGCAAACAGGAUUAGAAACCCGGGGUAGUCC